RNAcentral lists this unclassified non-coding RNA (350 nucleotides) under uncultured fungus. RNAcentral's name for it is "sequence contains ITS1". The stretch from base 1 to 100 matches the Rfam family "5.8S ribosomal RNA", at positions 50 to 154 of the family's 154-position model. The record is from RNAcentral. Lineage: Eukaryota; Fungi.
GAAAUGCGAUACGUCAUGCGAAUUGCAAAAACCAGUGAGUCAUCAAAAUUUUGAACGCACCUUGCACUUCCCUCUGGGGAGUAUGUCUGUUGGAGUGUCUGUUCAUCCCUACGACGCAUUUCUUCGGAAAUUGUGUUCGCGUCGGUUUUGUGAGUUAUUUCACAAGCACCAAGAUGAAACAACACUAGUCGAAGUCAUCUCAUUUCUGAGGUGACGUUUCGACGCGACGUCCUAGUUUUUCGGAACUUCGUCUCGCGUUAAUACGUUACUUUAUUCCAAAAGAAGCGAGAAUCGAUCUUUGUACGAUCCGAUCGGACCUCCAAUCAGGCAAGAAUACCCGCUGAAUUUAA